Molecule: long non-coding RNA, 2234 nt
Organism: Pteropus alecto (black flying fox)
Lineage: Eukaryota; Metazoa; Chordata; Mammalia; Chiroptera; Pteropodidae
Exons: 2
Source: RefSeq, a predicted model, not a curated record
UGGACACUUUAAGCAGCGGUGGUGGCAAACGGCGAGAGGUUGCAGACCGGACAAAAAGCCUCCCUUGUUCGGACGUUGCUCUGACCUCCGGAGAUGACAAGUGAGCAAGAAGUGUCUGGCCGGGCCAUCCCUUUCAGAGAAGCAACCACUUCACUAGAAGAUAUUUGCCAUAAUCCUGCAAUAGGUGAUCCUGGACACCAGAACAGUUUCUCAGAGAUUGGAAAUACUGGAGUCUACAGAAAAAUCAAUGUUCAUUUACAGGGUAAUCACCAAACUUAUCUUGGAUAACAUAAGUGACAAGCUCGGACUUAUGAUUUUUCCAUGAGAAAAAUGUUUUCUUAACUCACUAUCAUUUCUACAACAGCAUCCCAUGAGAAUUGAUUCUAGGUGGUUCAAAAUGCUGCUUAAUCCUAUUUUAGAAAAAGCUCUUAUAUCUGAUUUAGUUUCAUAUGCAGCUUCCUUCUAACAUCAGAUUGAAUUUGCAUUGAGUUACCUUACUCAGUUUAUUUUUUAAUUGUGCUGCAGUUAUAAGGGAAUAAAGAAAAAGUACAAUAAGUUGAAAUGUCUCUUUUAUUGGAGACACACAGGAAAUGUGUUAUAUGUUCUCUAACAUUCUCCAUAUAUUAGAGAUGCUAUAAUAAAUUUUUUGAAUAGCAAAACAAAAAAAGAAUAGUUUCUCCUCUUAGAAACACCUAAAUAUGUUAGAAUUUAUUGCUAAGUUUUUUUGUGGUAUGAUGGAGAAAUAAAUUUUGAAAUUGCAUUUAUGGAGUUAUUUCAGAGCAAGUGAAAUCAUGUGUAAUCUGGUCACUUUGAAAGUAUAAAUGUUCGUAUCUGAACUCCUCCUGCCCUGUUAGGAGUUGAAGGCUAUACCAUGUGUUAUUCAAAAAGUAAUUUUCCCUGGAUGUGCAAUAAAGCUUCAGAUUUGACCUGUAACCUGGAUGUCAUAAGCUAUCAGUUACUUAUGCUGGAAGCACACAAACAACAAAAAAGCGUUCUAAGUAUUUUUAUAGUCUUGCUAAAAUCUUACAGAACCGAAGCAGCCAAAUACUAUUAGUAAGGCUGUAAAAACCUUAGAACUUAACUCUCCAGUUAUUUUUAACUUGAGCAAGUCUUAUGCGUUGUCUCUAAAAGUAGUGUAUUGUGCUUUUCAAUUCAGAAAAUUUGUUAAUUUUGCACCCUUUGAUAUUUGAAUCUCUCUACGAUAUUCUGACAUAUAUCCAGUUUCCGAUGGCUUUGGUAAAGGAGCAAAUUAAAAGGUGCCUUAGAAUGGCAAUAUUCAAUCUAUAUUUCUCCACUUAACCUUUGUCUGGCAAUCAUUGAACAAGUCCUUGUUCUUAGAAUUUAACCCCAAAAAAUGACUAAGGAAAGGGCUUUCUAUCUGGGGAUCAUGAAAAGUUGUGACCAUUUUUCCAUUCAUGUUUCAACCUCACUUUACUGAUAAAGGUAUAUCUUCCUUUGGUUCAAGCUGAAUAAAGCUUAAUAAAUAAGUUUCUGUAUAGUGACACCCAGAAGAUUCCUGGGAUACAUUGUGCUACUGCUGGCAGUGUUGGCUACACUAUAUGCAAAUAAGCGGGACCUUCACCCAUCACACAGCUUAAUUAUAGGGAUGAAUUUUAGUCUCUCCUCAUUUUUAUUAUAUUUGUGUUAAACAUAUGGGGUUUUUACAAGUUUUAAAGCAGCAAAAUACAUUUCAUAUCUACUCUGUUACAGAUUCCAAAUUAAGCAGAUCCUAAUUAAUUGGGUUACAUUAUGUACCAACAGCCUUUCACUUUAAUGUCAAAGGCUUUUAUGAUCACUAUUCAGUUCCCCUUAAAGUGAGACUGAGCAAAAUAUUUUCUUGACAUUUCAGAGAAUUUCAUUUUCAGUUUCAAAGGAUCAUUUAUUUCUUUAACCUUCCAAUGUGGAAAAGUAAUGAAUAUUGACUUGUUUUUAGAAGUGCUAACAUUCAACUAGGUAAACUUAGUAAGUGAUAGCUAUUAAUGUUCUCUUUUGUCUUUGAGACAGAAAAUCAAAGCUAUUUAAAGUAAAGGAUGUGUUUAAAAUCAAUGUAUGUCCACAAGUUAAUGUAAAUGUUUACAGACAUUUUCUGUGAUCAUGUCUUAUUUGGAUGUGUAUGUAUUUACAUAUAAAUACAUAGAGAGAGAUAUAAAUAGAUGAGAGAGAUAUAUAUGUUUCUAUAUGGUCUGAAUAAAAGUGUUUUAUCACGACGCUGACCUGCAAUGUUAUAAAGUGCA